GGGGUUGUGGCUCAGUGGUAGAGUGCUCACCUAGCAGGUGCGAGACCCUGAGUUCGAUCCUUAGCACCA
Molecule: transfer RNA, 69 nt
Filed under: Ictidomys tridecemlineatus (thirteen-lined ground squirrel)
Lineage: Eukaryota; Metazoa; Chordata; Mammalia; Rodentia; Sciuridae
Description: Spermophilus tridecemlineatus (thirteen-lined ground squirrel) tRNA
Rfam family: tRNA
About the family: Transfer RNA (tRNA) molecules are approximately 80 nucleotides in length. Their secondary structure includes four short double-helical elements and three loops (D, anti-codon, and T loops). Further hydrogen bonds mediate the characteristic L-shaped molecular structure. tRNAs have two regions of fundamental functional importance: the anti-codon, which is responsible for specific mRNA codon recognition, and the 3' end, to which the tRNAs corresponding amino acid is attached (by aminoacyl-tRNA synthetases). tRNAs cope with the degeneracy of the genetic code in two manners: having more than one tRNA (with a specific anti-codon) for a particular amino acid; and 'wobble' base-pairing, i.e. permitting non-standard base-pairing at the 3rd anti-codon position.
Source: Rfam by way of RNAcentral